CGCAGGCGGUCUCUUAAGUCUGAUGUGAAAGCCCACGGCUCAACCGUGGAGGGUCAUUGGAAACUGGGGGACUUGAGUACUGGAGAGGAGAGUGGAAUUCCAUGUGUAGCGGUGAAAUGCGUAGAUAUAUGGAGGAACACCAGUGGCGAAGGCGGCUCUCUGGCCAGUAACUGACGCUGAGGCGCGAAAGCGUGGGGAGCAAACAGGAUUAGAUACCCUGGUAGUCCACGCCGUAAACGAUGAGUGCUAGGUGUUGGG
RNAcentral lists this ribosomal RNA (258 nucleotides) under uncultured bacterium. RNAcentral describes it as "partial 16S ribosomal RNA". It matches the Rfam family "Bacterial small subunit ribosomal RNA", at positions 570 to 827 of the family's 1533-position model. The record is from RNAcentral.